This 76-nucleotide small nucleolar RNA is filed under the name Brassica napus (rape). The record is from RNAcentral. Lineage: Eukaryota; Viridiplantae; Streptophyta; Magnoliopsida; Brassicales; Brassicaceae.
UCUGAGAGUAUGAUGAGUCUAAUUUGCGGCUGAUAUUAUAUUGAUGUUUAUUCACCUUGGAGAACUGAUUCUCAGA